UACGGGGGGAGCAAGCGUUGUUCGGAUUUACUGGGCGUAAAGGGCGCGUAGGCGGCCACCGCAAGUCAAUUGUGAAAUCUCCGGGCUUAACUCGGAAAGGUCAACUGAUACUGCGGGGCUAGAGUGCGGAAGGGGCAACUGGAAUUCUCGGUGUAGCGGUGGAAUGCGUAGAUAUCGGGAGGAACACCAGUGGCGAAGGCGGUUGCCUGGGGCUUUGCUGACGCUGAGGCGCGAAAGCGUGGGGAGCGAUCCGG
This 254-nucleotide ribosomal RNA is filed under the name uncultured bacterium. RNAcentral's name for it is "partial 16S ribosomal RNA". It matches the Rfam family "Bacterial small subunit ribosomal RNA", at positions 524 to 776 of the family's 1533-position model. The record is from RNAcentral.